AGGGGUGUAGUUCAAUUGGUAGAGCAUCGGUCUCCAAAACCGAAAGUUAGGGGUUCAAUUCCCUUCGCCCCUG
Molecule: transfer RNA, 73 nt
Filed under: Buchnera aphidicola (Melaphis rhois)
Lineage: Bacteria; Pseudomonadati; Pseudomonadota; Gammaproteobacteria; Enterobacterales; Erwiniaceae
Description: tRNA-Trp
Rfam family: tRNA
About the family: Transfer RNA (tRNA) molecules are approximately 80 nucleotides in length. Their secondary structure includes four short double-helical elements and three loops (D, anti-codon, and T loops). Further hydrogen bonds mediate the characteristic L-shaped molecular structure. tRNAs have two regions of fundamental functional importance: the anti-codon, which is responsible for specific mRNA codon recognition, and the 3' end, to which the tRNAs corresponding amino acid is attached (by aminoacyl-tRNA synthetases). tRNAs cope with the degeneracy of the genetic code in two manners: having more than one tRNA (with a specific anti-codon) for a particular amino acid; and 'wobble' base-pairing, i.e. permitting non-standard base-pairing at the 3rd anti-codon position.
Source: RNAcentral